RNAcentral lists this ribosomal RNA (412 nucleotides) under Alopias superciliosus (bigeye thresher). Its description in RNAcentral is "partial 16S ribosomal RNA". It matches the Rfam family "Bacterial large subunit ribosomal RNA", at positions 1966 to 2526 of the family's 2925-position model. The record is from RNAcentral. Lineage: Eukaryota; Metazoa; Chordata; Chondrichthyes; Lamniformes; Alopiidae.
CACUUGUCUUUUAAAUGAAGACCCGUAUGAAAGGCAUCACGAGAGUUCAACUGUCUCUAUUUUCUAAUCAAUGAAAUUGAUCUACUCGUGCAGAAGCGAGUAUAACUACAUUAGACGAGAAGACCCUAUGGAGCUUCAAACACAUGAAUUAAAUAUGUAAACUAACUACUCCCCGGACAUAAAUAAAAUAAUAUUUUUAAUUUAACUGUUUUUGGUUGGGGUGACCAAGGGGAAAAAUAAAUCCCCCUUAUCGAUUGAGUACUCAAGUACUUAAAAAUCAGAAUUACAAUUCUGAUUAAUAAAAUAUUUAUCGAAAAAUGACCCAGGAUUUCCUGAUCAAUGAACCAAGUUACCCUAGGGAUAACAGCGCAAUCCUUUCUUAGAGUCCCUAUCGCCAAAGGGUUUACGACCU